UCUUCUGCCUCGGGGCGUCGGACCUCUCCGGCUGAGAAGCACCCGCGGAACCUGAUCCGGAUCACACCGGCGGAGGGAAGGCGACAACCGGACCG
Molecule: non-coding RNA, 95 nt
Filed under: Phycisphaera mikurensis
Lineage: Bacteria; Pseudomonadati; Planctomycetota; Phycisphaerae; Phycisphaerales; Phycisphaeraceae
Also listed under: 1 other name
Description: TPP sequence
Rfam family: TPP riboswitch aptamer (THI element)
About the family: Vitamin B(1) in its active form thiamin pyrophosphate (TPP) is an essential coenzyme that is synthesised by coupling of pyrimidine and thiazole moieties in bacteria.
Source: RNAcentral